RNAcentral lists this ribosomal RNA (256 nucleotides) under uncultured Gardnerella sp. RNAcentral describes it as "partial 16S ribosomal RNA". It matches the Rfam family "Bacterial small subunit ribosomal RNA", at positions 99 to 353 of the family's 1533-position model. Lineage: Bacteria; Bacillati; Actinomycetota; Actinomycetes; Bifidobacteriales; Bifidobacteriaceae. The record is from RNAcentral.
CGAACGGGUGAGUAAUGCGUGACCAACCUGCCCCAUGCUCCAGAAUAGCUCUUGGAAACGGGUGGUAAUGCUGGAUGCUCCAACUUGACGCAUGUCUUGUUGGGAAAGUGUUUAGUGGCAUGGGAUGGGGUCGCGUCCCAUCAGCUUGUAGGCGGGGUAAUGGCCCACCUAGGCUUCGACGGGUAGCCGGCCUGAGAGGGCGGACGGCCACAUUGGGACUGAGAUACGGCCCAGACUCCUACGGGAGGCAGCAACG